AAACAAAUAAAAGACCCAGGACAAAAAGCCUCUCGCCUCUGCCUGACCCUCCCGGAAGGAGAGCCGGGUGUUUGCUCCCUCUUUGCCUCCCUCCGCCCCUCGGGCUUUGGAGGGGACAGAGCUGGCCAGGAAUCACUGCCCAGGGUUGACAAGGAUUGCACUGGAUUCUACUCUGCUAAUCAAAGCCCUGCAGCCAUUAUUGUCCAGUGUGAAAACGUGGAUCAAGAGCUGAGCCGCAUCACCAGAGGACGAUGGGGAAAGGUGCGUAGGUUUUUUGGGAACCUCGGCAGNACCAUUUUGCGUAUAGGAGGCCGAUUUUUUGGUUAGAGAACUCCGGAUGAGAGAGUGUGGAGUGGAGAGCCAAAUCUACGUGCUUCUGAUGCAGCUGCGUAGCCAUUUCAUCUAGAAAUUUAAAUCNAGGUCCAUUGCAUUUUUUCGUAGCCCAUGUCUCUUUUACCUGUGGCUUAAAUACAUUACAUUUCAUGGGGUGUCAAUACAUUAAAAAUGCGCUUAAAAAUGAAUAAAACUAAACUCAUAAAUGUGUUUUCUUC
Molecule: long non-coding RNA, 551 nt
Filed under: Salvator merianae (Argentine black and white tegu)
Lineage: Eukaryota; Metazoa; Chordata; Lepidosauria; Squamata; Teiidae
Description: lncRNA (ENSSMRG00000017061.1)
Source: RNAcentral